RNAcentral lists this transfer RNA (85 nucleotides) under Felis catus (domestic cat). It matches the Rfam family "tRNA". Rfam says of the family: Transfer RNA (tRNA) molecules are approximately 80 nucleotides in length. Their secondary structure includes four short double-helical elements and three loops (D, anti-codon, and T loops). Further hydrogen bonds mediate the characteristic L-shaped molecular structure. tRNAs have two regions of fundamental functional importance: the anti-codon, which is responsible for specific mRNA codon recognition, and the 3' end, to which the tRNAs corresponding amino acid is attached (by aminoacyl-tRNA synthetases). tRNAs cope with the degeneracy of the genetic code in two manners: having more than one tRNA (with a specific anti-codon) for a particular amino acid; and 'wobble' base-pairing, i.e. permitting non-standard base-pairing at the 3rd anti-codon position. Lineage: Eukaryota; Metazoa; Chordata; Mammalia; Carnivora; Felidae. The record is from Rfam by way of RNAcentral.
GCCUAGGUGGCUCAGUCGGUUGGGCUUCUGACUUCGGCUCAGGUCAUGAUCUCGUGGUCCGUGGGUUCAAGUCCCGCAUUGGGCU